UACGUAGGAGGCGAGCGUUGUCCGGAAUUACUGGGCGUAAAGCGCGUGUAGGCGGUCCGGUAAGUCCGCUGUGAAAGUCGAGGGCUCAACCCUCGAAUGCCGGUGGAUACUGUCGGGCUUGAGUACGGGAGAGGCGAGUGGAAUUCCUGGUGUAGCGGUGAAAUGCGCAGAUAUCAGGAGGAACACCGGUGGCGAAGGCGGGUCUCUGGGCCGAUACUGACGCUGAGGAGCGAAAGCAUGGGUAGCGAACAGG
This 253-nucleotide ribosomal RNA is filed under the name uncultured bacterium. RNAcentral describes it as "partial 16S ribosomal RNA". It matches the Rfam family "Bacterial small subunit ribosomal RNA", at positions 524 to 776 of the family's 1533-position model. The record is from RNAcentral.